This 429-nucleotide ribosomal RNA is filed under the name uncultured bacterium. Its description in RNAcentral is "bacterial SSU rRNA". It matches the Rfam family "Bacterial small subunit ribosomal RNA", at positions 355 to 776 of the family's 1533-position model. The record is from RNAcentral.
UGGGGAAUUUUGGACAAUGGGGGCAACCCUGAUCCAGCCAUGCCGCGUGCGGGAAGAAGGCCUUCGGGUUGUAAACCGCUUUUAGCCGGGAAGAAAAGGCACGUCCUAAUACGGCGUGUUCUUGACGGUACCGGCGGAAUAAGCACCGGCUAACUACGUGCCAGCAGCCGCGGUAAUACGUAGGGUGCGAGCGUUAAUCGGAAUUACUGGGCGUAAAGCGUGCGCAGGCGGUUCGUUGUGUCUGAUGUGAAAGCCCCGGGCUCAACCUGGGAAUGGCAUUGGAAACUGGCGAGCUGGAGUGCGGCAGAGGGGGGUGGAAUUCCGCGUGUAGCAGUGAAAUGCGUAGAGAUGCGGAGGAACACCGAUGGCGAAGGCAGCCCCCUGGGCCGACACUGACGCUCAGGCACGAAAGCGUGGGGAGCAAACAGG